ACCACCCUACGGGGGGCAGCAGUGGGGAAUAUUGCACAAUGGGGGAAACCCUGAUGCAGCGACGCCGCGUGAGCGAUGAAGUAUUUCGGUAUGUAAAGCUCUAUCAGCAGGGAAGAAAAUGACGGUACCUGACUAAGAAGCCCCGGCUAACUACGUGCCAGCAGCCGCGGUAAUACGUAGGGGGCAAGCGUUAUCCGGAUUUACUGGGUGUAAAGGGAGCGUAGACGGCAAUGCAAGCCAGAUGUGAAAGCCCGGGGCUCAACCAUGGGACUGCUUUUGAAACUGUCAAACUAGAGUACGGGAGG
Molecule: ribosomal RNA, 305 nt
Filed under: uncultured bacterium
Lineage: Bacteria
Description: bacterial SSU rRNA
Rfam family: Bacterial small subunit ribosomal RNA
Source: RNAcentral